Molecule: ribosomal RNA, 466 nt
Filed under: uncultured bacterium
Lineage: Bacteria
Description: SSU rRNA
Rfam family: Bacterial small subunit ribosomal RNA
Source: RNAcentral
AGGACAAACGCUGGCGGCGUACUUAAGACAUGCAAGUCGAACGGGCGCUUCACCUUCGGGUGGGUGUGCUAGUGGCGGACGGGUGAGUAACGCGUAGGAACCUGUCAUCAAGAGGGGGGAUAACGCUGGGAAACCGGCGCUAAUACCGCAUGUGGUCAUGAAAAUGAAGAAAGCAGCAAUGCGCUUGAUGAGGGGCCUGCGUCCGAUUAGCUUGUUGGUGGGGUAAAGGCCUACCAAGGCAUCGAUCGGUAGCUGGUCUGAGAGGAUGGUCAGCCACACUGGGACUGAGACACGGCCCAGACUCCUACGGGAGGCAGCAGUUAGGAAAUUUUCCCAAUGGGCGCAAGCCUGAGGGAGUAACGCCGCGUGGAGGAUGACGGCUUUCGGGUUGUAAACUCCUUUCUGUGGGAGAGUAGAAGACGGUACCGCAGGAAUAAGCCUCGGCUAACUACGUGCCAGCAGCCGC